RNAcentral lists this ribosomal RNA (253 nucleotides) under uncultured bacterium. RNAcentral's name for it is "partial 16S ribosomal RNA". It matches the Rfam family "Bacterial small subunit ribosomal RNA", at positions 524 to 776 of the family's 1533-position model. The record is from RNAcentral.
UACGGAGGGGACUAGCGUUGCUCGGAAUCACUGGGCGUAAAGCGCACGUAGGCGGCCGAUCAAGUCAGAGGUGAAAGCCUGGAGCUUAACUCCAGAACUGCCUUUGAUACUGUUUGGCUAGAGUUCGGAAGAGGUUGGUGGAACUGCAAGUGUAGAGGUGAAAUUCGUAGAUAUUUGCAAGAACACCAGUGGCGAAGGCGGCCAACUGGUCCGAUACUGACGCUGAGGUGCGAAAGCGUGGGGAUCAAACAGG